Molecule: ribosomal RNA, 253 nt
Filed under: uncultured bacterium
Lineage: Bacteria
Description: partial 16S ribosomal RNA
Rfam family: Bacterial small subunit ribosomal RNA
Source: RNAcentral
UACAGAGGGGGCGAGCGUUAUUCGGAAUUAUUGGGCGUAAAGGGCGCGUAGGCGGCUUUUCAAGGGACGGGUGAAAUCCCUCGGCUUAACCGAGGAACUGCCUGUCAGACUGGAAGGCUUGAGACCGGGAGAGGUGAGUGGAAUUCCCAGUGUAGCGGUGAAAUGCGUAGAUAUUGGGGGGAACACCAGUGGCGAAGGCGGCUCACUGGACCGGAACUGACGCUGAGGCGCGAAAGCGUGGGGAGCAAACAGG